This 253-nucleotide ribosomal RNA is filed under the name uncultured microorganism. RNAcentral's name for it is "partial 16S ribosomal RNA". It matches the Rfam family "Bacterial small subunit ribosomal RNA", at positions 524 to 776 of the family's 1533-position model. The record is from RNAcentral.
UACGUAGGGUGCGAGCGUUAAUCGGAUUUACUGGGCGUAAAGCGUGCGUAGGCGGCCCGUUAAGACAGGUGUGAAAUCCCUGGGCUCAACCUAGGAAUUGCGCUUGUGACUGGCGGGCUCGAGUACGGUAGAGGGGGGUGGAAUUCCUGGUGUAGCAGUGAAAUGCGUAGAGAUCAGGAGGAACACCGAUGGCGAAGGCAGCCCCCUGGGCCUGUACUGACGCUCAUGCACGAAAGCGAGGGGAGCAAACAGG